AGUGAACGCUGGCGGUAGGCCUAACACAUGCAAGUCGAACGGCAGCACAGUAAGAGCUUGCUCUUACGGGUGGCGAGUGGCGGACGGGUGAGGAAUACAUCGGAAUCUACUCUUUCGUGGGGGAUAACGUAGGGAAACUUACGCUAAUACCGCAUACGACCUACGGGUGAAAGCAGGGGAUCUUCUGACCUUGCGCGAUUGAAUGAGCCGAUGUCGGAUUAGCUAGUUGGCGGGGUAAAGGCCCACCAAGGCGACGAUCGGUAGCCGGUCUGAGAGGAUGGUCAGCCACACUGGAUGUGAGACACGGUCCAGACUCCUACGGGGGGCAGCAGUCGGGAAUAUUAGGCAAUGGGCGCGAGCCUGAUCCAGCCAUACCGCGUGGGUGAAGAAGGCCUUCGGGUUGGAAAGCCCUUUUGUCGGUAGAGAAAAGCAGCAGGUUAAUACCCCGCUGUUCUGACGGUACCCAGAGAAUAAGCACCGGCUAACUUCGUG
Molecule: ribosomal RNA, 492 nt
Filed under: uncultured bacterium
Lineage: Bacteria
Description: partial 16S ribosomal RNA
Rfam family: Bacterial small subunit ribosomal RNA
Source: RNAcentral